Molecule: long non-coding RNA, 2196 nt
Filed under: Homo sapiens (human)
Lineage: Eukaryota; Metazoa; Chordata; Mammalia; Primates; Hominidae
Description: HSALNT0349086
Source: RNAcentral
CUGGGCUCUACCAAUCAGCAGGAUGUGGGUGAGGCCGGAUAAGAGAAUAAAAGCAGGCUGCCCCAGCUAGCAGUGGCAACCUGCUCGGGUCCCCUGCCACACUAUGGAAGCUUUGUUCUUUUGCUCUUUGCAAUAAAUCUUGCUACUGCUUACUCUUUGGGUCCACACUGCCUUCAUGAGCUGUAACACUCACCGGGAAGGUCUGCAACUUCACUCCUGAGCCAGCGAGACCACGAGCCCACUGGAAGGAACAAACUCCCGCACGCCGCCUUUAAGAACUGUAACACUCACAGAGAGGGCCCGCGGCUUCAUUCCCGAAGUCAGUGAGACCAAGAACCAACCAAUUCCGGGCACGGGAUCAAUUGGGAUUAGAAUUUUAUCCUACUGCUAAAACAUAAAGCAAAAAGGCCAAAAGUGAUCUCACCUUUUCAGAGAAACGCACUUAAAUAGCAGCAGCAGGUGCCUCUCUUUUCUGAGCUUCCCUUCACCUGAAUGUGGUUCUGGUACUUAAAGUUUCUUUUUCUGCAUCCGCUGCUCUGUUAAGUGAUCACCACAUUCAUUGUUCUCGUUUCUAUUAUUUCUGAAAAAAAUCUUCAGGAUUCUGCUUGUGGGAGUGGAUGACAUUUUUACAGUGUUUACAGAGUAAGCAGAUUGGACUGGGACAUGAUCUUCUCUUCAAGAGGGCAGAAGCACAAGGCCCAAUGUAUAAUUGCUAUUCAUAACUCUACUUAUGUGAUAUUUGUUACCUGGGUCCCUACAUUAGCCAAGGCAGAACACAUGGUCAAGCUGAGGUGCAGAGAAUUACACCUUGACUACACAAGAGUAUAAAUACAAGGAGGAGUGAAACUCCAGGGCCAUUACUGUUGCCAAUCUAACACAAAUAGGACACUCCAUUUUUUAAGAUUGUAAGUUCUGCAGGAAAAAUGCCUGAGUCAAUAUCCUGGCCCUACCAGGAGCUCUGUAACCUUGGAAAAAUUACUAAGCCUGGUUUCUCAUUUUAAUAAGGAAAGACAGCAAAACUAUACCUCAUAUCAUUAAUGAGUACACAUUUGUGAGCCCUAUAUCUAACACAAAAUAUGUACCAAAAAUAUUAAUUGUAUUAUUCCAUAUAUGUGGGCAUUGAGGUUCACAGGAGUUGACGUAUUUAAAAAUAAAAUUUAACAUUAAUAAUAUGUGCUGAAAUUGUGCUUGAAUGCAGAAAUUCAGAUUUCCUGACUUUGGAUUUCAGGUUUGUUAAACAACAUCCUGCUAUUACUAUGUAAAAACAUUGAAGUAUAAUCACUAUAGAAAAAGGAAAUAUAAUUAAUCAAUUAUUACAUUCUUUCUUUCUUUCUUUUUGGGGACGGGGUCUCGCUCUGUCCCCCAGGCUGGAGGGGGGACCGUCUCAGCUCACUGCAACCUCUGCCUCCUGGGUUCAAGUGAUUUACCUGCCUCAGCUUCCUGAGUAGCUGGGACUAUAGGCACCUUCCACCAUGCCUGGCUAAGUUUUGUAUUUUUUGGUAGAGACAGGGUUUCACCAUGUUUGGCGAGACUGGUCUUGAACUCCUUACCUCAGGUGAUCUGCCCAUCUCGGCCUCCCAAAGUGCAGGGAUUACGGGGGUGAGCCGCCGGCCUGGCCUACAUUAUUAAAUUCUUAAACUGAUGUUACACAGGCAUCAUUAUAAAAAUUACACGGUAGGGAAUUAGUUGAUAACUACUUUAAAAUCUUUAAAGUAUAAAAUACAUACUUUGUUCUAUUUAUAAAACAUGAUAUGAAAUAAAUGACACAUUCGCUGUAUUAAAUCCAAUAAAUUGUCAAAAAUAGAUGCAUUACGUGUAGACUGGUAUGGAUUAUUGAACAAAUGUAAUUACAUUUUUAAAUUCAAGCUGUCUGAUACAGAAUGUAGAACUAGGACACUUGCAAAGGUAGCACUGUAGUAAACAUUUUAUCUUAAUGAUAUUAUGCUACUUUAAUACUAUGUAAUAGCACAAAGUCAACACUUUUAGGAUGCCCAGGUACAUACUGGAAAUUGACCAUUAUAUUCGUUUUUUUCUACAGAUAUUGAAUAUUCUUUUAAGGGAUACACACAGACAACUAGCUCUUUCUACCAGAAAAGCGUUUUUGUAGACACAUUGCAGUUUCAUUUUUCUUUAAUGACUGACACUGCUCCAUAUGUUCAGAGCUCAUACUUCUAAAAGAAAUUUGACAAAUUGUUU